GACGAACGCUGGCGGCGUGCUUAACACAUGCAAGUCGAACGGAAAGGCCCUGCUUUUGUGGGGUGCUCGGGUGGCGAAAGGGUGAGUAACACGUGUGUAACCUGCCUUUGACUUUGGGAUAACUUCAGGAAGCUGGGGCUAAUACCGGAUAGGAGCUCCUGCUGCAUGGUGGGGGUUGGAAAGUUUCGGCGGUUGGGGAUGGACUCGCGGCUUAUCAGCUUGUUGGUGGGGUAGUGGCUUGCCAAGGCUUUGACGGGUAGCCGGCCUGAGAGGGUGACCGGCCACAUUGGGACUGAGAUACGGCCCAGACUCCUACGGGAGGCAGCAGUGGGGAAUAUUGCACAAUGGGCGGAAGCCUGAUGCAGCAACGCCGCGUGCGGGAUGACGGCCUUCGGGUUGUAAACCGCUUUCGCCUGUGACGAAGCGUGAGUGACGGUAAUGGGUAAAGAAGCACCGGCUAACUACGUG
This 468-nucleotide ribosomal RNA is filed under the name uncultured bacterium. RNAcentral's name for it is "partial 16S ribosomal RNA". It matches the Rfam family "Bacterial small subunit ribosomal RNA", at positions 28 to 507 of the family's 1533-position model. The record is from RNAcentral.